AUGACACAAAUAAAUGGUAUAAUUCUGCAAUUAAAAUACUACACUGAUUUAUUUUCCUUGACUUCAAAUAUAGUACAUUCAAAACAAAUUUUAAUAAAACUUCCUUUGGUACAGAUUUGUUCAGCAUUAGCAAUCAAUCGCAGGGAUGAUAGAUAAAGAAAAUGCAACGCCAUCUCUUUCCUACCAAUUUUUAAGAGAGAAUCAAUGCUUGGGCUAUGAUGAGAAAUGGAUUCAUAAGCAAAAUAUCAUUUUAGAAUGGGAGUAUAUUACACUCAGAUUGAACACGCUACCUUGAUGCCACUAUAAGCACAACAUCAAAUUACUUAGCAUACUUAAACAUUCAUUAAAGUGAAUUAAGGUACACUACUAAUUAUGACAAUAUGACUUCAAAAAAACUUUUCCUUACUUUUGCUCAACUUAAAAAAACGAUUGCAUCACAAGGAAAAUCUGCCCUCUUAAAGUUGAACACUCUACAUGUGCGCACAAAUCAGCUUCACAGAAGAAAGAAAAAUAAGUCAAUCUAAACUAACAAAAUGCCCCAAUUCAGUGUUAACAAUACCCUCAUAAAACUUUAAAAAAAAACUUUCCUGGAUCUGUUGAGGAAACGAAAGAAGCUAAGACUAAUACAAACAUCAAGAGAUCUGAUUCUGACCAAGAUCAUAAAAAAUAGAGCCGAAGAAGAAGCAAAAGUAGAAACCAAAAAAAACUUCAGCAAUUAAACAAACCAACAAUAGCCAUCAAACAAAGGUAACAGGACAACUGACAUAUGAACAAUUUCCAUCAGUUAUUAUUCCCAAACAAAUCUGCAGGUUCAUGUCAUUUAAUUAAAGAGCCGUACCCGGACAACAAAAAAUGGCAACCAAAAUACCAAAUGAAACUCAAGGAAAAUGUGAAGAGAGUUCCAGCAACCAAAGGUCCAGCGAGUCAAUUACCCAAAUCCCAAAUGCAACAGAAAUUCGGAUGGAAAUUCAAAGUUCCAAAGCUCCGAACCCCAGUGACAAAACCCGACUUAUACUUCAAAUCCAAAACAUUCUUGAAAACCAGAGAUUAAAGAGAAAUGCUGAGAUUUGUAAUUUUUGAUUCCUUUCGAAAUAAAAUAAUACUUGAAUUGAAAAUCAAAACUCAGACUAUAACUUUAAUAUUUUUUUUUGAAAGGAUGCAAACUGAAAUUUAAAAGAAAAGGCUUGAAGAAAUGGAAAACUCCAAGAACCCUAGCAUUUUACUCCCUAAUUUUCUGAAAAUUUCUUCCUCCCUAACAAGAAAAGAACUCACCUUAUAUAUAAACCUCAAAAUAUCUUGAAGCUUCUGCCUAGAAUCCGGAAAUCUUCAGGUUUUUGAACAAUUUUGAGACAAAUGGAGGGCGUGGAUUGAUUCACAUCUAUUCACGACUCUCAUUCGUCCAACAAUUGUCCCUUUGAAUCCGAAAUAUUGCAAUUUUGAGAGAAUAUCAUAUUCCUCUGACAAAUCUGUAAGGAUAAGGUGACGUGGAGGGGGGAGACCAAUGAAUGAACUCGCUCAAAACUCAAACGAGUUGAGGUGAAGAAGAAGAACAGUAGGGGAGGGGGGCGCCGUCUCUGAUUUUCUAGGUUUAGGGUUCAAAUGGGGGAAAGAAUUAUAAGGAGGCUUUUAUAUUUAAGAAGGAAACGGGUCGAACCGGCGGGUUGGUUCAUUUUUUGCUGGGCUGAACCCGGUUUAAUUGGACUGGGGUGGUAAGGGAGGAGGGUUCUUUGGGCUGGAGAGUGUGAAUUUUAAGGGGAAGAAUUUGGGCCGAAAUUGGGGUGUUUAAAAUGGCCCAAAACCAAAUAAAACUCUUGUCUUCAAAUAAUUUCUUUUCUCUUUCUUCUUUUUUUAAUUAGAAGUCCUAAAAUUAAAAAAAAUCCAAAAUUAUCUAAAAAAUGUAAAAUCAAGCUAAUUAAUUAAUUAUAAAAUUGUAAACAUUGCUCAAAUCUAUAUUAAAAGUGGAAAAUCAAUGAACUAAAAAUUAAAGCAAAAAUGUGAAAAUGAACUAUUUUUUUAUGAUUUUCAAAUUUUAUAAAACAAGUAAUUAUGGAUUAACUCUAAAAAGUAUAAAAAUAAAUCCUAAAUAUAGUGCACGAUAUUUUGGUAUUUUAUGAUUUGAAUAAUCAAUUAGAAAGUCUAUUUUCUUAGAUUUUCUAGGAGUAUUUCAUGUAUGGCAAAAAUCACAUGCUCACACCUGCCCCUCUUUGCUCGGAGACACAAAGUAUUUUCGGGCAAAGAUAAAAUGAGCAAUUACGAGGGAUAUUUUCUCGUUUGAAACUCAAUGAGAAGCAUUUUUUGAAAGAGCCUGACCGAACAUUGCUUCAAAAGUUGCCUACAUAUCCUUGGCUAUAAAGGAAUCACGUCAGUGUAGUUCUAGAAGUUUUGGUAGCUGGGACUUCUGAGAAGCUGUGAUUUCACUACUUUUGUUGCUGUUCCUGCUUGCUAAACUCCUUAUUACACCGAAAAAAUAGAAAAAAUAAAAAGGUAAAGUAGCUAAACCUAUCAACUACGAGUUAUAAGAUUCCUAUCUAUAAUUCUCUUGAAGCUUGAUCUUGAGUCUUGGAAAGGUCUUGCUGCAGGCUUCGAUCUGAAUCUUGAUGUUUUUCGGCUAUAGGUGUUGGUUCUUUCUUCGGCUUUCGAUCAAGGCGGGACAUGCGAGGUUGUGACUUCAAUCAAAUUUUGAGCAGUCCGUGUCCUUCUCCACUUCAGCACUUUGAGUUCACUUCUUUUGUUCUUUUUCUUCUUUUCUUUAUUUUAGAUUGAGAUUCAUUUUUGGUCAUCUCGAAUCUUGUGCCUUGAGGUCAAACAUACUUAGACACCAAAACAAACAAACGAACAAAAAUUCCUGCCCCAGUUUUCACUAGGAAAAUUUCAUGAGUUAUUUGCAACAAAAAUCUAAAAUAUUUCUUCAUUGAAAGCAAUAAAAAUCAAGAUUGUGUAUCCUUAGAAGUAGGGAGUGAAGCCCUAAAUUGGAAAGAUUGCCAGGUUAUGCUGGAAAGAUGAUCGGGUUAUGUCGGAAAAGAAAAAGGUCCAUCGGGUUAUGUCGGGAAAGUCAUCGGAUUAUGCUAGAAGAAAAGAAAAAGGUUCUCAGGUUAUGUUGGGAGAAAAGAAAAAAGGUCCUCGGGUUAUGCCGGGGAGGUCCACGGGUUAUGCCGGGAGAAGAAGAAAAAGGUCCUUAGGGUUAUGCCAGGGAGGCCCACGGGUUAAGCCGGGAUAAAAGAAAAAAGGUACUUGGGUUAUGCCAGGGAGGUCCACGGGUUAUGCCGGGGUAAAAAGGUCCUUGGGUUAUGCCAGGGAGAAAAGAACAAAGGUCCUUGGGUUAUUGUAGGGAGGUCUACGGGUUAUGCCGGAAAAAAAGAAAAAACGUCCUUGGGUUAUGCCAGAGAGGUCCACGGGUUAUGCCAGGGAGAAAAUAAAAAAGGUCCUUGGGUUAUGCCAGGGAGAAAGGAAAAGAUCCUCGGGUUAUAUCGGGAUAAAAGAAAAAAGAUCAUUGGGUUAUGCCAGGGAGGUCUACGGGUUAUGCCGAGGUAAAAGAAAAAGGUCCUUGGGUUUUGCCAGGGAGAANNN
RNAcentral lists this long non-coding RNA (3567 nucleotides) under Nicotiana tabacum (common tobacco). RNAcentral's name for it is "long non-coding RNA (NTAB_LNC007246)". The record is from RNAcentral. Lineage: Eukaryota; Viridiplantae; Streptophyta; Magnoliopsida; Solanales; Solanaceae.